This 227-nucleotide unclassified non-coding RNA is filed under the name Ascomycota sp. RNAcentral's name for it is "partial contains small subunit ribosomal RNA, internal transcribed spacer 1, and 5.8S ribosomal RNA". The stretch from base 1 to 47 matches the Rfam family "Eukaryotic small subunit ribosomal RNA", at positions 1785 to 1831 of the family's 1831-position model. Lineage: Eukaryota; Fungi; Ascomycota. The record is from RNAcentral.
AAAGUCGUAACAAGGUCUCCGUUGGUGAACCAGCGGAGGGAUCAUUACAGGACUCACAAGACUCCUUCAACCCUGUGAACUUACUACAAAGCACGUUGCUUCGGCGGGUGCUCCGGGUCUCCCGGGGCGCUGAGCCCGCCGGCAGCCUACCAAUUCUGUCUCUUUGCGUUGGCAUCUCGAGAAAAACAAAUAAGUUAAAACUUUCAACAACGGAUCUCUUGGUUCUG